Molecule: long non-coding RNA, 374 nt
Filed under: Homo sapiens (human)
Lineage: Eukaryota; Metazoa; Chordata; Mammalia; Primates; Hominidae
Description: non-protein coding lnc-PWWP2B-1:2
Source: RNAcentral
ACUCCCAGCUGCCCAGCCUGCAACUAGAGCUCAGCCACUGCAGGUGACAGCAACGGGACCCGCCUUUGAGCCUGAGGCCAGGACUGACGCCACAGCCUGCAGCUCCUCCCCAAGCCCAGCCCCAGCCCUUGCCCUUCAAUCCUGAGACCCUGAGAUGCAUGGGUGGGGCUUUCAUCCGCUGGGGAGGCUGAGACCCGGGGGGCCACAGCUGGUUCCUGGACUCCAAAGCCCAGGACCCUUCCAAAUCCUGCCUGGACGGCACCGUGGCCAGGACCCCAGCCAGCACUUCCCUUUUCUGCGAGGGUUUUCUGUUUCUUUGAUUAUAAAAUAACCCCUGUUGGUGGGGGGAAAAAAUUAGCAAAAUAAAGAAAAGC